GACGAACGCUGGCGGCGUGCCUAAUACAUGCAAGUCGAACGAACUCUGGUAUUGAUUGGUGCUUGCAUCAUGAUUUACAUUUGAGUGAGUGGCGAACUGGUGAGUAACACGUGGGAAACCUGCCCAGAAGCGGGGGAUAACACCUGGAAACAGAUGCUAAUACCGCAUAACAACUUGGACCGCAUGGUCCGAGCUUGAAAGAUGGCUUCGGCUAUCACUUUUGGAUGGUCCCGCGGCGUAUUAGCUAGAUGGUGGGGUAACGGCUCACCAUGGCAAUGAUACGUAGCCGACCUGAGAGGGUAAUCGGCCACAUUGGGACUGAGACACGGCCCAAACUCCUACGGGAGGCAGCAGUAGGGAAUCUUCCACAAUGGACGAAAGUCUGAUGGAGCAACGCCGCGUGAGUGAAGAAGGGUUUCGGCUCGUAAAACUCUGUUGUUAAAGAAGAACAUAUCUGAGAGUAACUGUUCAGGUAUUGACGGUAUUUAACCAGAAAGCCACGGCUAACUACGUGCCAGCAGCCGCGGUAAUACGUAGGUGGCAAGCGUUGUCCGGAUUUAUUGGGCGUAAAGCGAGCGCAGGCGGUUUUUUAAGUCUGAUGUGAAAGCCUUCGGCUCAACCGAAGAAGUGCAUCGGAAACUGGGAAACUUGAGUGCAGAAGAGGACAGUGGAACUCCAUGUGUAGCGGUGAAAUGCGUAGAUAUAUGGAAGAACACCAGUGGCGAAGGCGGCUGUCUGGUCUGUAACUGACGCUGAGGCUCGAAAGUAUGGGUAGCAAACAGGAUUAGAUACCCUGGUAGUCCAUACCGUAAACGAUGAAUGCUAAGUGUUGGAGGGUUUCCGCCCUUCAGUGCUGCAGCUAACGCAUUAAGCAUUCCGCCUGGGGAGUACGGCCGCAAGGCUGAAACUCAAAGGAAUUGACGGGGGCCCGCACAAGCUGUGGAGCAUGUGGUUUAAUUCGAAGCUACGCGAAGAACCUUACCAGGUCUUGACAUACUAUGCAAAUCUAAGAGAUUAGACGUUCCCUUCGGGGACAUGGAUACAGGUGGUGCAUGGUUGUCGUCAGCUCGUGUCGUGAGAUGUUGGGUUAAGUCCCGCAACGAGCGCAACCCUUAUUAUCAGUUGCCAGCAUUAAGUUGGGCACUCUGGUGAGACUGCCGGUGACAAACCGGAGGAAGGUGGGGAUGACGUCAAAUCAUCAUGCCCCUUAUGACCUGGGCUACACACGUGCCACAAUGGAUGGUACAACGAGUUGCGAACUCGCGAGAGUAAGCUAAUCUCUUAAAGCCAUUCUCAGUUCGGAUUGUAGGCUGCAACUCGCCUACAUGAAGUCGGAAUCGCUAGUAAUCGCGGAUCAGCAUGCCGCGGUGAAUACGUUCCCGGGCCUUGUACACACCGCCCGUCACACCAUGAGAGUUUGUAACACCCAAAGUCGGUGGGGUAACCUUUUAGGAACCAGCCGCCUAAGGUGGGACAGAUGAUUAGGGUGAAGUCGUAACAAGGUAGCCGUAG
RNAcentral lists this ribosomal RNA (1512 nucleotides) under Lactiplantibacillus argentoratensis. RNAcentral's name for it is "partial 16S ribosomal RNA". It matches the Rfam family "Bacterial small subunit ribosomal RNA". Lineage: Bacteria; Bacillati; Bacillota; Bacilli; Lactobacillales; Lactobacillaceae. The record is from RNAcentral.